Molecule: long non-coding RNA, 282 nt
Filed under: Elaeis guineensis (African oil palm)
Lineage: Eukaryota; Viridiplantae; Streptophyta; Magnoliopsida; Arecales; Arecaceae
Description: long non-coding RNA (EGUI_LNC017221)
Source: RNAcentral
CCUUGGUCAUAAAAUUCUAAAAUCCUAGGGCACUAGGCUUGACAAAAUAAUUUUGCCAACUUCAUUUUAGUUUGCAUCACAUGACAAACACCUCUAGCAUCAUUACACCUAAAAUGAAAAGCUUACCAAGAUUUGAACACUAAACUUCUUGGGAAAGAGACUAACAACUGCUUGAGAUAUGCUUCAAUCAACAAGACUAUAGAAGUGCUCCUAGAAGUAACCUAAAAAAUAUGAAAUGUGACAAGUUUCUGAAUGUCGAUAAUAUAUGAUAGUGCACAUAUA